RNAcentral lists this small RNA (157 nucleotides) under Acinetobacter guillouiae. RNAcentral describes it as "Manganese sequence". It matches the Rfam family "Manganese Mn2+ riboswitch aptamer (yybP-ykoY)". From Rfam's summary of the family: This RNA was originally discovered in E. coli during a large scale screen and was named SraF. Lineage: Bacteria; Pseudomonadati; Pseudomonadota; Gammaproteobacteria; Moraxellales; Moraxellaceae. The record is from RNAcentral.
CUGUACUUCAUUGGGGAGUAGCCGCUGUUUAUCAUCUGCGAGAUGAUAAAUGGGUGAUGAUCAACAUAAUUACUCAACAGAGUAUGGUCAUCAUAGCAAAGAACCAAUUUAGCUGAAGGUGUUUACUCAGCUAUCUUUUGUUGGCAAGACCUUUGAU